AGAUGUGAGAGCUAACUAGCUACAUUAUCUGUCACUCCAUUCAUCACCAGGGUUGAUUCGGAUGACCUGACUGGUUAGACAGGCACCCCCUUCCUUCCUCACCACUCUGUAUACAUCCCUUCUGAAGCUGCAUGCUUGGUCUAAGAGGAUGAUCUUCCCAUUAGAAAACAGCUCAAAAGCUGGGCAUGGGUGG
This 193-nucleotide small nuclear RNA is filed under the name Dipodomys ordii (Ord's kangaroo rat). RNAcentral describes it as "7SK RNA". It matches the Rfam family "7SK RNA". Rfam says of the family: 7SK was discovered as an abundant small nuclear RNA in the mid-70s but a possible function has only recently been suggested. The record is from Rfam by way of RNAcentral. Lineage: Eukaryota; Metazoa; Chordata; Mammalia; Rodentia; Heteromyidae.